This 492-nucleotide ribosomal RNA is filed under the name uncultured bacterium. RNAcentral's name for it is "partial 16S ribosomal RNA". It matches the Rfam family "Bacterial small subunit ribosomal RNA", at positions 29 to 507 of the family's 1533-position model. The record is from RNAcentral.
AGUGGACGCUGGCGGUAGGCCUAACACAUGCAAGUCGAACGGCAGCACAGUAAGAGCUUGCUCUUACGGGUGGCGAGUGGUGGACGGGUGAGGAAUACAUCGGAAUCUACUUUUUCGUGGGGGAUAACGUAGGGAAACUUACGCUAAUACCGCAUACGACCUACGGGUGAAAGCAGUGGAUCUUCGGACCUUGCGCGAUUGAAUGAGCCGAUGUCGGAUUAGCUAGUUGGCGGGGUAAAGGCCCACCAAGGCGACGAUCCGUAGCUGGUCUGAGAGGAUGAUCAGCCACACUGGAACUGAGACACGGUCCAGACUCCUACGGGAGGCAGCAGUGGGGAAUAUUGGACAAUGGGCGCAAGCCUGAUCCAGCCAUACCGCGUGGGUGAAGAAGGCCUUCGGGUUGUAAAGCCCUUUUGUUGGGAAAGAAAGGCAGCAGGUUAAUACCCCGCUGUUCUGACGGUACCCAAAGAAUAAGCACCGGCUAACUUCGUG